GGAGCAGAGCAUUCAAGAUGAGACACCGGGGAAAUAAGGAAACUCAAUGCUUCCCAUAAAUACUGGUUAUUGACAAGGGGAAAAAGGACACUGAAGACUCGCUCUUUCAGUCAUAAAUCCCACUGUGUCCAGAGGAAAAUGACACCAAAGUCGUCUCGGAUAUCGCAAGAUGGAUCAGAAGUGAAUACAAAAGUGAAAAGAGGGGGCACGAAAAAGCUUCAUAGAGAGACAGCAACGACAACCACCAAAGUCAACUAUAGAACAUAUAGAAGGAGCUCUGCUCCCUGGGGAACCCAGGAUAAGCAAGUUGCUACCAGGUACAGCCCUUGAAAACACACCCUAAGGAUAACAUUUUGGAAACUCUUGAUUUGGAAUUAGCCCUAAGGAGAUCCAGAAGAAAUGAAUAAAUUACAUG
Molecule: long non-coding RNA, 415 nt
Organism: Zalophus californianus (California sea lion)
Lineage: Eukaryota; Metazoa; Chordata; Mammalia; Carnivora; Otariidae
Exons: 3
Source: RefSeq, a predicted model, not a curated record